Long non-coding RNA from Falco peregrinus (peregrine falcon), 1595 nucleotides. RefSeq lists it as uncharacterized. The transcript is spliced from 5 exons. Lineage: Eukaryota; Metazoa; Chordata; Aves; Falconiformes; Falconidae. The record is from RefSeq and is a predicted model, not a curated record.
UGGCCUGGGGGCUGUGGCUGGGGCGGAGCCGCCGCGGUUUACGCGCGUGGGGGUCCCCAGCCGCCUCCACCGCCCCGGGGCUGGACCAUCAGCCGAGCCCCAGGAACCCCCAGUCGUCAUCAUCAUCAUCAUCAUGCCCUGGAGCUGCUGGGCUGUGCUGCUCCUCUGCACCACUGCCAGGUUUUGUGGGUGGCUGGGCUUUGGCAUCUGCCCAGAGAAGCUGGGGAUCCGCCCAUCUGUCCCCUCUGAGGUGGCAGCACGUGUUGACCAGUUCUAGACUGAAGCCGCUUGCUGGGGGCCAUCACCCAUGAACUUCUGCCACCAUCAGGUGUGGCUGUGGGUCUCCCCCCGGGCUGGGGAAACAGGGGAUCCCCAGGACACCCCACCACCACCACCACCACCCUGGGCAGCUGCUUUUCCUGGUGUGGGCUGCCUCGUGUUGGCAUGGUAUGUCUUUGGGGGUUGAAGGCAAAGUUUUGGGGUGGACUCAAGCAGUUCUCCUUGUUUCACACCCAAAACCAACCCCUCUAUAUGCUCACUCCAGCUGUGCUGGGGGCACCCACGGGUGCUGAGUCCUGCUGCCACCAGGUCAUGGUGUGGCUCUGCUCAUUCUGCGCUGACUUGGGUGAGGAGGAGGUGACCAGGCUGGAGGUUGACCUGUUCAACUGCUGGGCCAGCACUGAAGGUCACCGGACACACCACUGCAUGUCAGAUAUGGUAAAGUGCCAGGGCAGGGCACCUCAAAUCCUGUUUUCUCCAAUUCCACCCCAAAUUCUGUAUUAAUCCAUUGCAGUUCCCGCCCCCACCCCCCCAAAAAAAAUAAUAAUAAAAAAUCCUAAACUUUGUAGUUGCAGAGCCUGAGUGGCACCCAGCCACCUCUGCUCAGCUGCUCAUCCUCAUUUUGGGGUAAAACCAGCCUUGUUCAGCCCACUUCCGUCGCGGCAGAUGGGGGUGUCCACUCCUAACCCUCUUCCCACCCUCAGCCUUGCCAGCUUUACUUGCUUCUGAAGGCUUUUCCAGUCUCCCCAGCACCGUGGGAUGGAGGCUGAAUGCUGAGGGUGAGCCAGCUUCCACCUGGUAGGUGGUGGUGGGCAUCACCAUGGAGUGAUGGUUUGUGGGGUGCUGUGGAGCCGCCCCCUGUCACCACCAUUCCAGUACCCCCCAGUAUUCGCCCCAGGAGGAGCUGUGGGAGUGGCUGGCUCAGUGGCCGCAGCCAAGACUGGAGAUCCCUGUCCAUCACAGCCUGCAGCAGCCAGUGCUGGAUGAAACCCGCGUCGCCAGCUGGUGGCACUAGAUGGCCUGGCUUGUGGAGGACAUCACCCAGCAGACGGGGAACGUGAGCAGCUGUGGUGUUGUGAGGCCUGGGAAAGGGCACUGGGUUUUCCUGUCAGACCUCUACCACGUGCAGGGUAGAGCUCAGGACAUCCAUUCCCAACUAGAGAGUGACCUGACCCAGCAGCACUGGAUGAAGGAGGUGAUGGAGAAGCUGCAACAGAUCAGCCAGAGGCUCAGGCUGAUGCUGGCAACCAUGGAGGGUGCGUGGAGCUGGCUGAAGAACCAUCUGCAGCACCUCUGCGCCAUCCCUGGCCCAGCUG